CCAUGGCUGAAUGGUUAAAGCGCCCAACUCAAAAUUGGUGAAUUCGUAGGUUCAAUUCCUAUUUAGAAUUGA
Molecule: transfer RNA, 72 nt
Filed under: Datura stramonium (jimsonweed)
Lineage: Eukaryota; Viridiplantae; Streptophyta; Magnoliopsida; Solanales; Solanaceae
Description: tRNA-Leu
Rfam family: tRNA (bases 3-63)
About the family: Transfer RNA (tRNA) molecules are approximately 80 nucleotides in length.
Source: RNAcentral